AGAGUUUGAUCCUGGCUCAGAACGAACGCUGGCGGCGUGCUUAACACAUGCAAGUCGAACGAGAAAUCCCGGGCAACUGGGAGAGUAAAGUGGCGCACGGGUGAGUAACGCGUGGGUAACCUACCCUUGAAUUGGGGAUAACUCCGCGAAAGCGGGGCUAAUACCGAAUAAUAUCUCGGGGUCUUCGGGCCUUGGGAUCAAAGAUGGCCUCUGCAUGCAAGCUAUCGUUUAAGGAUGGGCCCGCGUACCAUUAGCUUGUUGGUAGGGUAAUGGCCUACCAAGGCAACGAUGGUUAGCUGGUCUGAGAGGAUGGCCAGCCACACUGGAACUGAGAUACGGUCCAGACUCCUACGGGAGGCAGCAGUGGGGAAUCUUGCGCAAUGGGGGAAACCCUGACGCAGCAACGCCGCGUGGGUGAUGAAGGCCUUCGGGUCGUAAAGCCCUGUCAGGUGGGAAGAACCUCGUCGGUGCCAAUACCACCGACGCUUGACGGUACCACCGGAGGAAGCACCGGCUAACUCCGUGCCAGCAGCCGCGGUAAUACGGAGGGUGCAAGCGUUGUUCGGAAUUAUUGGGCGUAAAGCGCGUGUAGGUGGUCGGGUAAGUCAGAUGUGAAAGCCCUCGGCUUAACUGGGGAAGUGCAUUUGAGACUGCUCGGCUGGAGUUCGGAAGAGGAGAGUGGAAUUCCCGGUGUAGAGGUGAAAUUCGUAGAUAUCGGGAGGAACACCGGUGGCGAAGGCGGCUCUCUGGUCCGAUACUGACGCUGAGACGCGAAAGCGUGGGGAGCAAACAGGAUUAGA
This 800-nucleotide ribosomal RNA is filed under the name uncultured bacterium. RNAcentral's name for it is "bacterial SSU rRNA". It matches the Rfam family "Bacterial small subunit ribosomal RNA", at positions 8 to 782 of the family's 1533-position model. The record is from RNAcentral.